CCUACGGGAGGCAGCAGUGAGGAAUAUUGGUCAAUGGGCGUAAGCCUGAACCAGCCAAGUCGCGUGAGGGAUGAAGGUUCUAUGGAUCGUAAACCUCUUUUAUAAGGGAAUAAAGUGUGGGACGUGUCCUAUUUUGUAUGUACCUUAUGAAUAAGGAUCGGCUAACUCCGUGCCAGCAGCCGCGGUAAUACGGAGGAUCCGCGCGUUUUCCGGAUUUAUUGGGUUUAAAGGGUUCGUAGGCGGCCUUUUAAGUCAGCUGUGAAAGUCUGUGGCUCAACCAUAGAAUGGCCGUUGAAACUGGGGGGCUUGAGUAUGUUUGAGGCAGGCGGAAUGCGUGGUGUAGCGGUGAAAUGCUUAGAUAUCACGCAGAACCCCGAUUGCGAAGGCAGCCUGCCAAGCCAUGACUGACGCUGAUGCACGAAAGCGUGGGGAUCAAACAGGAUUAGAUACCCUGGUAGUC
Molecule: ribosomal RNA, 460 nt
Filed under: uncultured bacterium
Lineage: Bacteria
Description: partial 16S ribosomal RNA
Rfam family: Bacterial small subunit ribosomal RNA
Source: RNAcentral